RNAcentral lists this transfer RNA (77 nucleotides) under Bifidobacterium animalis subsp. lactis Bl12. Its description in RNAcentral is "tRNA-Lys". The stretch from base 1 to 52 matches the Rfam family "tRNA", at positions 21 to 71 of the family's 71-position model. Rfam says of the family: Transfer RNA (tRNA) molecules are approximately 80 nucleotides in length. Their secondary structure includes four short double-helical elements and three loops (D, anti-codon, and T loops). Lineage: Bacteria; Bacillati; Actinomycetota; Actinomycetes; Bifidobacteriales; Bifidobacteriaceae. The record is from RNAcentral.
GAGCAUCUGACUCUUAAUCAGAGUGUCCAGGGUUCGAGUCCCUGAGGGGGCACCUCAAUGGAAGACCCCAGCUUCGG